AUUCGGUCUCUUGAAAAAUGACCCAACCUACCAACCGCACCCAACCCACCGUCCACCUCCGGCCAGACGCGUGCCACCGCCUGCCCUGCGCGCCGCCGGACAGACGCAUGCCGCUGCCCUCGACCCGCGCGCCGCCGCCCCUUACCUGCGCUCCGCCCUCGACCCGAGCGCUGCCGCCCGUCGUCGCCCCUGACCUGCGCUCCGCCGCCCCUGACCGAGCUUCGCGCCGGGCUGGACCUGCUCGACUGCUCCCGGCGCAGCCACGACCCUGUGCGCCUGACGGAAGCACCAGCUUUCUUCCCGCAUUCGGUGUUAAAAAUCUCCUGUUGGGAAGAUCCUCAUGGUGCGCAGCACGGACAAGGGGAUUUGGAGAGGCUGGCCUCCUGGUCCUGUAGAGAUCAGGGGCGAGCCAGGGGAGAGGAGACAUGCCCUAGUGCCGCCACAUCUCCAUGAUCUCCAUCCCUGGUCGCCAGCAGCUGCAAGCGCGGCCACCACACCACCCUGCCGCCAGCACGCCACCCUCACGGUCAACUGCAUCUCAGACCCCGGGCAACGGCAGCCGCAGCACCUCGCCCCCGCCAGGUCGCCACGCCUCACCACCAGGUUACAUCUGAAUCGGAUGAUGAGCUGCACCAGUAUGUAGAUGAGGAUUAGUUGAACAGGCGUGAAGAACUUGCAUUUGCACAUACAGAAGCAGAUGAGGCAAUAACUGACGGAGUCACGUUGACAAUCAGUGUUGCUAUUUUCUACUGCCACCGUUAGGUAUUGUGUUGGUGCAACACUUUGCAACUUAGCUCUGCCAAUAUAGAGGGAAUGACCAGGGAAAUACUUCUCUAGUUUUUGCGCUGCAAAUUGUAAAGUGAAAUGACUGAAAUUAUCAUCGUGUUGUGCUGCAAAAUUUAUAUACCUUCCAUUUCUAGA
Molecule: long non-coding RNA, 921 nt
Organism: Lolium perenne
Lineage: Eukaryota; Viridiplantae; Streptophyta; Magnoliopsida; Poales; Poaceae
Source: RefSeq, a predicted model, not a curated record